This is a small nuclear RNA of Rattus norvegicus (Norway rat), 65 nucleotides long. Ensembl annotates it as U7 small nuclear RNA. Lineage: Eukaryota; Metazoa; Chordata; Mammalia; Rodentia; Muridae. The record is from Ensembl.
AGCUGUUAAAGCUCUUUGAGAAUGUUUUCUAACAGGUUUUCUGACUUUGUUUGGAAAACACCAAA